UGGGGAAUAUUGGGGCAAUGGGGGGAAACCCUGACCCAGCAACGCCGCGUGAAGGAAGAAGGCCUUCGGUUGUAAACUUCUUUUACCAGGGACGAAGGACGUGACGGUACCUGGAGAAAAAGCAACGGCUAACUACGUGCCAGCAGCCGCGGUAAUACGUAGGUUGCAAGCGUUGUCCGGAUUUACUGGGUGUAAAGGGCGUGUAGGCGGAGAUGCAAGUCGGGAGUGAAAUCCAUGGGCUUAACCCAUGAACUGCUUUCGAAACUGUAUCCCUUGAGUAUCGGAGAGGCAAAGCGGAAUUCCUAGUGUAGCGGUGAAAUGCGUAGAGAUUAGGAAGAACACCGGUGGCGAAGGCGACUUUCUGGACGACAACUGACGCUGAGGCGCGAAA
Molecule: ribosomal RNA, 391 nt
Filed under: uncultured Clostridium sp.
Lineage: Bacteria; Bacillati; Bacillota; Clostridia; Eubacteriales; Clostridiaceae
Description: bacterial SSU rRNA
Rfam family: Bacterial small subunit ribosomal RNA
Source: RNAcentral